This 619-nucleotide transfer RNA is filed under the name uncultured Prochlorococcus sp. RNAcentral's name for it is "partial contains 16S ribosomal RNA, 16S-23S ribosomal RNA intergenic spacer, and 23S ribosomal RNA". The stretch from base 225 to 297 matches the Rfam family "tRNA". The record is from RNAcentral. Lineage: Bacteria; Bacillati; Cyanobacteriota; Cyanophyceae; Synechococcales; Prochlorococcaceae.
UGGAUCACCUCCUAACAGGGAGACAACAAAAUGUAAAUAUUAAUUUUGUCACCUUAGGUCGAUCGGUAUCUCAGAUUCUUAUUAUUUAAGAAUUUCAGCUUCUAAGUUUUUUCUAGGUCACACCCAUCACUUUUUCCUGGGCCAUUAGCUCAGGUGGUUAGAGCGCACCCCUGAUAAGGGUGAGGUCCCUGGUUCAAGUCCAGGAUGGCCCAUAUCUCUAUGUUGGGGGUAUAGCUCAGUUGGUAGAGCGCCUGCUUUGCAAGCAGGAUGUCAGCGGUUCGAGUCCGCUUACCUCCACUGAAUACCACCUCUUACAUAUAGUCGAAGUGGGAAAUUGUUUUGAGUCGUGUCCUAAUUUGCUCCGAGCGAAUCUAGCUUCCUAUUUUAUCCAAGAAAUAAGAUGCUGGACUCAUUGAAUUUUUUUUCAUUGUUUUCAGAGAACCUUGACAACUGCAUAGAUUAUUUUUAAAGACAAUAAACAUCUUUAAUGAUGCAGAUUUAUUAUUUGUGCGAAUGCAUUAAAUAACAAUUCUAUUAAGCUGAUGCUUCAAUUAUUGAAGUUAUUGGUCAAGCUACAAAGGGCUCACGGAGGAUACCUAGGCACACAGAGGCGAGAAGG